This 52-nucleotide non-coding RNA is filed under the name unclassified sequences. RNAcentral's name for it is "6A RNA". It matches the Rfam family "6A RNA". Rfam says of the family: Actinobacteria (1 example), Firmicutes, Fusobacteria. Terminator (Clostridia) The record is from Rfam by way of RNAcentral.
AGACUUGGUCGUAGAGCCACGACCAACUUAAUCAAAAAAACGCUCACUGAGA